ACUGUCCCACUUUGAGCUAGUGGUCACUCUAGCCAACAAGCUGAGGUUAGCCAUUACUAUGAAGUUUAAAAGUAAACAUGAAAUCCUUAUUCACUUUUGUGUUUAAAGGUCUGUUAGCUUUUCUGAAAGGGCAUUAUUUUACCCAUACUGCAGACAUUGGUAAGUCCCAGAAUGCACAAAUUAAAACAUCAUGUGGAUAAAUUUUGAAAUAAAAAUUAUACAAUAGAAUUGCUGUGAAUUAGGUAAUGUCAGUGUAAUCUAAAUAUCCUAAAAUAAACUCCCGCAAAAUGACAGAGCACUGAAAAUUUGUAGUUGAAUUAUCUUAUAAUAUUAGAGAAUAAUUUCAGUUAUCUUGCAAAACUGAAUUAUGUUCAUUGGUGUAUUGUAUUAUCAGUAGUGAGCACUUACAAAGCAACAGAAUGCAGUUAUUUUAAAGGUGUGUGGGGUGGUGAUUCUUUCUAUACAUACUGUAAUUAAGAUUUGCUACUUAAGCCAGUCCAAUUUUUGUUUUUACUUCUUUUUUUUUUUAAGACCAGUAAUGAGUUUCUGAGAAUUACAACUGCUCCACUUCAAGCAAGAUUGCUGGUUUCCUUGGACAAGCAACACUACAAACUAAUUGAAAUCAUCAGAAACAAGGGAGGAAUUGUCAGAGAGAAGAGAUAUAAUCUUCAUCUUUAAGUUCUUCAUCUGAGCCCGGAGGUGAAUGUAUGAAGAGAGUAUCUCCUAAAAUGUCUUAUGGUGUAUUUAGUGGAAGAUGUGGACCAACUGUUUUUUGUUCAUGAAGCAUUUCAACCUUAGGACUGAAAAAUGUUAAGAGGAUUUGCUGUGAUGGCUGUGACCGAUGGUUUCACAUCAGCUGUGUUCAAUGUCCUGCAGUUGUGCCCAGCCUGCAUGUAAAAUACUGACUGGAAAAAAAAAAUCACAGUUAAAAUCAUGGUUUCUCUUUUUAUUGCUUGGGUUAUAUUGGGGGGCACUUUGUGGCUGCUCCAGUUACACUCUACUUUUUUCCUAUACUAUUUAUUUAGCCAUGCUGCAUAAGAAAUGAGUCAUGACAAAUUUGUUACUUUUAAUAAAGUGGUGUUUAAUUUAAUGUUAUAGAAUUUCCAAGUUUGAUAAGUGUCGAUUUUGGAGUGCAUGUGAGAUGCGAAUGGGAAGUAAAUGAACACGUAGCAAUGCAAAGAGGACAGAGCUGCGAAAUAUCAAAGCAAUAUUAAUUUAACAUUAUUUAAUUUAAUAUUAAUUUUAAGUCGAAUCAUAAUGGUUGUUGUUGCUGCUGUUAAGGGAAUUGAUUCCAUUGUUACUGAACGCAACUGUGUUUACAAAACUGAGAACAGGGAAAGGAACGCAUUCGCUAACGCGUUUGAAUGAAAAGGCGCGGUGGCUUUUCUUUGACGAUAGCGGUUGCAUAAUGAGAGGCAAUCUGUGGCAGAGUGUGUUUUAGAGCAUAUCACGGUGGGGCUUAUAAAUGCGCUGCUACUAUUAGCUCUUAGAAAUGUCUAUCAUUGAUGUGAGGCCUGUGAUUGCAUAAAUUCUUCUUUUCUUUAAACCUUUUCUUAUUUCCCCCCUUUUCUUAGGUUUCUUCAACUUUUAAUAUGAUUUCAACCCCUGUACUGACUAACUAGGUUACCCAGGUUACACUAUGGCAUACUGAAGUAUAAUUAUAAGGUCAUAAGUUUCAAAGGCUUUUAUUGACAAUUACAUAAAGUUUAUGCAGUAAACUGUAUGUACAGUAAAACAUCUUAAGACAAAACAUGUGCAGGAUUGCUUCUCAGUCAAGGGAUUGGCUUCACUCACAAUGAUGUUAUUGUAAAGAAUGGUACAAAAGCAUUUUUAAAGAACAACUUCCCCCAACCAUCCAGGAACAGUUUGGUGACAAACAAUGCCUUUUCCAGCAUGAUGGAGCACCUUGCUAUAAGGCAAAAGUGACUAAGUGAC
This is a long non-coding RNA of Clarias gariepinus (North African catfish), 1935 nucleotides long. RefSeq lists it as uncharacterized. The transcript is spliced from 3 exons. The record is from RefSeq and is a predicted model, not a curated record. Lineage: Eukaryota; Metazoa; Chordata; Actinopteri; Siluriformes; Clariidae.